GCAUAUCGCAGUCCAUGCUGUUAAGUACUUUAAUUAAUUUUAAUGUGCUGCUUGGACUACAUAUGGUUGAGGGUUGUUAGACUAUUAAAAUAGUUGAUUUUGUUACUAUGUAACUUAAUCACAUGGUAUAUUGAAGGAAUUAUAUAAAUUUUUAUAUAAUCCGCAAUAUUAAUAAAAUUUUAAAAGUCUCCUAAUAAAUACUUAGUAUUCAUGUGAUACAUAUUACAUACAUACAUAUAUAUAUAUAUAUUUAUAUAUAUAAAUAAAUAUUGGGGAACAAAAAGGUAUAAGGAUUAAAAAUAUUGUCUGUGGAGUAGAUUUUAUUAAUCUUACCUUAAAAUGUAAUAUAUGUACACAAAAUAUUGAAAAAGAAGAAAAGAUUUAUUUUGAGCAAAAAAAUUGUUUACACAACCUCAACUCAUAUGGGAUU
Molecule: unclassified non-coding RNA, 430 nt
Filed under: Chalarus leticiae
Lineage: Eukaryota; Metazoa; Arthropoda; Insecta; Diptera; Pipunculidae
Description: sequence contains ITS2
Source: RNAcentral